AAAUAAGCCUACGAAAACAAACUUACGAGGAUUCCCUNANUAACGGNGAGCGAACNGGGAGCAUCCCAACUUGAGAAUCAGGCGGCGUCNUNGCCCGAAUUGUAGUCUGUAGAAGCGUCUUCAGNGGCGGACNGGGUCCAAGUCCCNUAGAAGGGGGCGCUUGAGAGGGUGAGAGCCCCGUCAGGCCCAGACCCUGUCNCAUCACNGGGCGCUGUCGGCGAGUCAGGUUGUUUGGGAAUGCACCCUAAUUGGGUGGUAAAUUCUAUCCAAGGCUAAAUACGUGUGAGUGACCGAUANCGAACAAGUACCGNGAGGGAAAGAUGAAAAGGACUUUGAAAAGAGAGUUAAAGAGUGCUUGAAAUUAUCGGGAGGGAAGCAGAUGGAGGCCGGCGAUGCACCCUGUUANGAUGCGGAANGACGGUUGCCNGUCNGCCGCUCGGCUCGGGGUGCAGACNANCGNGGGCUACCGCGGCGGUAGGAUGGCGUGCGGGAGGCCGCGUGAUGCUCGGCCAUUGCGGUGGUCGAGGAAACGAANUGCGCACCUUNGGCAGGCCCUCGGGCACCUNCGCGCUCNUGGCGUUGGCUUGCGGGCUUUCCAUUCGACCCGUCUUGAAACACGGACCAAGGAGUCUAACAUGUGUGCGAGUCGGCGGGUUGCAAAACCCGUUAGGCACAAGGAAGCUGACUGGCAGGAUCUCCUNNCUGGGGGUGCANUNCCAACNGACCCUGANUNUUNUGUGAAGGGUUUGAGUGCGAACAUACCUGUUGGGACCCCAAAGAUGGUGAACUAUGCCUAAGCAGGGUGAAGCCAAAGGAAACUCUUGUGGAGGCCCGUAGCGAUACUGACGUGCAAAUCNUUCGUGUGACUUGGGUAUAGGGGCGAAAGACUAAUCGAACCGUCUAGUAGUNGGUUUCCNCNGAAGUUUCCCUCAGNAUAGNUNGAGCUCGCGUGUNAGUUUUAUCGGGUAAAGUAAAUGAUUAGAGGCAUCGGGGACGUAACGCCCUUGACCUAUUCUCAAACUUUAAAUAGGUAAGACGGCGCGGCUGCUCCGUUGAGCCGUGCCAUGGAAUCGAGAGUUUCAAGUGGGCCAUUUUUGGUAAGCAGAACUGGNGAUGCGGGAUGAACCGAAAGCUGAGUUACGGUGCCAGACUGCGCGCUAACCCAGAUCCCACAACAG
RNAcentral lists this ribosomal RNA (1178 nucleotides) under Encephalartos villosus. RNAcentral's name for it is "partial 26S ribosomal RNA". It matches the Rfam family "Eukaryotic large subunit ribosomal RNA", at positions 44 to 1220 of the family's 3401-position model. The record is from RNAcentral. Lineage: Eukaryota; Viridiplantae; Streptophyta; Cycadopsida; Cycadales; Zamiaceae.